CGUAGGGUGCGAGCGUUAAUCGGAAUUACCGGGCGUAAAGCGUGCGCAGGCGGUUUUGUAAGACAGAUGUGAAAUCCCCGGGCUCAACCUGGGACCUGCAUUUGUGACUGCAAGGCUAGAGUACGGUAGAGGGGGAUGGAAUUCCGCGUGUAGCAGUGAAAUGCGUAGAUAUGCGGAGGAACACCGAUGGCGAAGGCAAUCCCCUGGACCUGUACUGACGCUCAUGCACGAAAGCGUGGGGAGCAAACAGGAUUAGAUACCCUGGUAGUCCACGCCCUAAACGAUGUCAACUGGUUGUUGGGUCUUUACUGACUCAGUAACGAAGCUAACGCGUGAAGUUGACCGCCUGGGGAGUACGGCCGCAAGGUUG
Molecule: ribosomal RNA, 370 nt
Filed under: uncultured organism
Description: bacterial SSU rRNA
Rfam family: Bacterial small subunit ribosomal RNA
Source: RNAcentral